GACGAACGCUGGCGGCGUGCCUAACACAUGCAAGUCGAACGGAAAGGCCCUGUCUAUGUGGGGUGCUCGAGUGGAGACCGGGUGAGUAACCCGUGAGUAACCUGUCACUGACCUUGGGAUAACCUCAGGACACUGGGGCUAAUACCGGCUAGGAGCUAUCGCUGCUUGGUGGGGGCUGGUAAGUUUAGGUGGUUGGGGAUGGACUAGCGGCGUAUCAGGUUGUUGGUGGGGUAGUGGAUUACCAAGGCCAUGACGGGUUGCCGGCCUGGGAGGGUGACCUGCCAAGUUAGGACUGGGAUGAGACCCGGACUCCUACGGGAGGCAGCGGUGGGGAGUAGUACACAAGGGGCGGGACCCUGAUGCGACAACGCCGCGUGCGGGAUGACAUGCUUCGGUUUGUAUUCCGCUUUCGCCUGUGACGAGACGUUAGUGACGGUAAUGGGUGAAGAAGCACCGGCUAACUACGUG
Molecule: ribosomal RNA, 468 nt
Filed under: uncultured bacterium
Lineage: Bacteria
Description: partial 16S ribosomal RNA
Rfam family: Bacterial small subunit ribosomal RNA
Source: RNAcentral